Molecule: long non-coding RNA, 603 nt
Organism: Actinia tenebrosa (Australian red waratah sea anemone)
Lineage: Eukaryota; Metazoa; Cnidaria; Anthozoa; Actiniaria; Actiniidae
Source: RefSeq, a predicted model, not a curated record
UGUUAAGUGCCAGAGCUUAUUAACUUGUUCAAAAAGUCGAUCGUACAAUACAUUUUAAGGGUUCCACGUACCCUAUAAAUAAAAGCUUCUAGCCCGUGGAUGAGAAUACUUGCAUUCACUUGCUGUGGACAAAAGUUGACCUGCUAUACGACGAGUUAAAGAGGACGAGGACUCUUAGAGUUUCAGAACCUAUAAUUAAUCCCUUGAAGAUGGACAAGAUACUCAUGAUKAUCAGCCUAUGCGUUCUCUUUUUGUUCUUCAUCUCACGAACCACAUCAGACGAAUUGCAGUCAGAUGCAAUUGAAAGAAAUGACUUUGAGGCGGAAAAAGAAGCAAAGAGCUCUAGCUGGAUCCCAGGCCCUCUUUUCAAGAGAAGACCUGCCGCCGCCUACUCGAGUCGACGGCGGCACGGGCGCUUUGGUCAAUUGGGAAAAUAAUUUUAUGUAAAAUUAUGAAUCAGAUUAAGAUAUGAAUUCAAACAAAUGCAAUUAAAUGCUUCUUUUUUUGUGCGUACCAUAUUCUAUCCACAGUAUAAGCGCAAUAAAUGUAAAGAGUUACAGAGGCCAUUGCUUUUAGACACAAUAAAAAMCACAAUAAUCGAGA